Molecule: ribosomal RNA, 252 nt
Filed under: uncultured prokaryote
Description: partial 16S ribosomal RNA
Rfam family: Bacterial small subunit ribosomal RNA
Source: RNAcentral
UACAGAGGUGCGAGCGUUAAUCGGAAUUACUGGGCGUAAAGCGUGCGUAGACGGUUAUUUAAGUCGGAUGUGAAAGCCCCGGGCUCAACCUGGGAAUUGCAUUCGAGACUGAAUAGCUAGGGUGCGGUAGAGGGAAGCGGAAUUUCCGGUGUAGCGGUGAAAUGCGUAGAUAUCCGGAGGAACACCGGUGGCGAAGGCGGCUUCCUGGACCGACACUGACGCUGAUGCGCGAAAGCUAGGGGAGCAAACGGG